UGAUGUUAGCGGCGGACGGGUGAGUAACACGUGGGUAACCUGCCUGUAAGACUGGGAUAACUCCGGGAAACCGGGGCUAAUACCGGAUGCUUGUUUGAACCGCAUGGUUCAAACAUAAAAGGUGGCUUCGGCUACCACUUACAGAUGGACCCGCGGCGCAUUAGCUAGUUGGUGAGGUAAUGGCUCACCAAGGCGACGAUGCGUAGCCGACCUGAGAGGGUGAUCGGCCACACUGGGACUGAGACACGGCCCAGACUCCUACGGGAGGCAGCAGUAGGGAAUCUUCCGCAAUGGACGAAAGUCUGACGGAGCAACGCCGCGUGAGUGAUGAAGGUUUUCGGAUCGUAAAGCUCUGUUGUUAGGGAAGAACAAGUACCGUUCGAAUAGGGCGGUACCUUGACGGUACCUAACCAGAAAGCCACGGCUAACUACGUGCCAGCAGCCGCGGUAAUACGUAGGUGGCAAGCGUUGUCCGGAAUUAUUGGGCGUAAAGGGCUCGCAGGCGGUUUCUUAAGUCUGAUGUGAAAGCCCCCGGCUCAACCGGGGAGGGUCAUUGGAAACUGGGGAACUUGAGUGCAGAAGAGGAGAGUGGAAUUCCACGUGUAGCGGUGAAAUGCGUAGAGAUGUGGAGGAACACCAGUGGCGAAGGCGACUCUCUGGUCUGUAACUGACGCUGAGGAGCGAAAGCGUGGGGAGCGAACAGGAUUAGAUACCCUGGUAGUCCACGCCGUAAACGAUGAGUGCUAAGUGUUAGGGGGUUUCCGCCCCUUAGUGCUGCAGCUAACGCAUUAAGCACUCCGCCUGGGGAGUACGGUCGCAAGACUGAAACUCAAAGGAAUUGACGGGGGCCCGCACAAGCGGUGGAGCAUGUGGUUUAAUUCGAAGCAACGCGAAGAACCUUACCAGGUCUUGACAUCCUCUGACAAUCCUAGAGAUAGGACGUCCCCUUCGGGGGCAGAGUGACAGGUGGUGCAUGGUUGUCGUCAGCUCGUGUCGUGAGAUGUUGGGUUAAGUCCCGCAACGAGCGCAACCCUUGAUCUUAGUUGCCAGCAUUCAGUUGGGCACUCUAAGGUGACUGCCGGUGACAAACCGGAGGAAGGUGGGGAUGACGUCAAAUCAUCAUGCCCCUUAUGACCUGGGCUACACACGUGCUACAAUGGACAGAACAAAGGGCAGCGAAACCGCGAGGUUAAGCCAAUCCCACAAAUCUGUUCUCAGUUCGGAUCGCAGUCUGCAACUCGACUGCGUGAAGCUGGAAUCGCUAGUAAUCGCGGAUCA
RNAcentral lists this ribosomal RNA (1278 nucleotides) under Bacillus subtilis. RNAcentral's name for it is "bacterial SSU rRNA". It matches the Rfam family "Bacterial small subunit ribosomal RNA", at positions 87 to 1351 of the family's 1533-position model. Lineage: Bacteria; Bacillati; Bacillota; Bacilli; Caryophanales; Bacillaceae. The record is from RNAcentral.